UCAUGCUUCUCUGGACAGUGCCCUC
Molecule: non-coding RNA, 25 nt
Filed under: Mus musculus (house mouse)
Lineage: Eukaryota; Metazoa; Chordata; Mammalia; Rodentia; Muridae
Also listed under: 1 other name
Source: RNAcentral